Molecule: small nucleolar RNA, 92 nt
Filed under: Oryza punctata
Lineage: Eukaryota; Viridiplantae; Streptophyta; Magnoliopsida; Poales; Poaceae
Source: RNAcentral
CUUUGGCGGUGAUGAUACAGACCUUCAGCUUUCAACGCCAGUUCUGCUUCUGAGAAUUCAUGAUAGAUAAUGCUAUAUUUUCUUUGUUUUUG